Molecule: long non-coding RNA, 331 nt
Filed under: Homo sapiens (human)
Lineage: Eukaryota; Metazoa; Chordata; Mammalia; Primates; Hominidae
Description: non-protein coding lnc-UBE2T-1:1
Source: RNAcentral
AUGGGUGAUGUUGAGAAAGGCAAGAAGAGUUUUGUUCAGAAGUGUGCCCAAGGCCGGUGUGCCCAAUGCCACACCAUGGUAAAGCGAGGCAAGUACAAGAGUGAGCCAAAUCUCCAUGGUCUAUUUAUGCAGAAGACAGGUCAGGCCACUGAAUUCUCUCACAGACGCCAAUGAGAACAAAGGCAUCACCUGAGGAGAGGAGACACUGAUGGAGUAUUUGCAGAAUCCCAAGAAGUACAUCCCUGGAACAAAAAUGACCAUUGUCAGCACUAAGAAGAAGGCAGAAAGGGCAGACUUGAUAGCUUAUCUCAGAAAAGCUAAUAAUCAGUAA